ACCUAUGUCAAAAAUAAGUCAUUGAUCACCAUCAUAACUGUUUAAAAAAUGUGAUAUUAUAUAAAUUGGCAAUAUAAUGUUUUAUAAGAUACGCGACUAUUUUGUUCCUGAUCAUUCAUCAUGUCGUCAUUUGAUGUAAAUCAAGAUAAUAGCCAAGAAAAGUUUUUAAAACCAAAGCCUCAGAAGAAAAUAACACCUUCUUCCAGCAUCAGAUCUGAAUUUAAUACAAUGGAAAGUGGUAGUAGGCAGCUUAUUUCUAUUAAAAAACUUAAGGCAAAACUUCUGUCAAAUCGUGUAUCGGCCACUAGUGAUUCUACAACUGAAAGUAGGGUUCAACCAUGGACAUCUCCAUACUUGACACAAAAAUAUAACACAGCAGGUGUAAAGAAUGAAAAUGAAAAUCCAUUUUUUAUAGAUGAUUUUCCUGCAGUAAAUUAUAAAGAUUUAAAAUAUCUAGAAAGUUUUUCUAAAACCAAAUAUAAACCUUAUGACAUAUAUCUAAAAAAUGUAUCAAAAACUGCUAGUGACAAUUUAAGGAAUCAAUCGGAAAUUAGAUUUGACAAGAAAGGAAAACAAAUGCUUACCACAUUGGAUGACUUUCCUCCAAUUUUAGGCGAUUGCUUAGGAUCUGUAAUUAUUCCUCAAGUAAUAGAUAAUCCAGAUAAAGAUGUGCAAAAAAUUUUAAGUUCUUAUGGACCUGAUAAUGACGAAACCAAAAUUAAUAAAUUGAGAGAUUUUAGUAGCUAUAAACCAAAACCAUCUCAUGAAAAUAAACCACAAGCAAGUACUGAAAAUGUAAGGCAAAGCAUGCUUAAGCAAUUGUAUGAAGGCGCUACUGAAGUACUUAAUAUGACACAGUCAGAAGCACCAGAACAUCAAGAAUCAAUUGACAAAAAUAUAUUAAAAAAAUCUGAAAAUUGGGACACUCCUAGAUCUGAAAAAUCUAAGAUUUUGAAAAAAAAAUCAAUAACUAAUCUGGAAACAGUAGUAACCAAUUUCGAUUAUCUCUCGAAACCAGAAUUGGACAACGAUAAAAACAAAGCCAUACAAAUACCGCAAGCAAGUAGUUAUAUACUAAGUACCGCACGGGUUUAUCCCUCAUGCUGUGAAAUUUCUGCAUCCAAAGUUAUCGAGGAUAUAUCUACACGUGAUAUUAUCAGCUCCAAUCCUUUAGAACAUCCACUAAUAUCUCAGUUGCAGUUUAAAAGUUAUACCAAAGAAAUUAAUGAUGAUAAGAGCUCCUCUUUGGAAUGUACAAGAGAAAGUAUACCGGAAUCCAAAAACAAAAUAUUAAAGGACACUUGUGAUAUUACAACGUGUGACAAAUUUGCAAAGGCAUUUGGCCUAAAAAAACGAAGGUUUUGCUGUGAGAAUGGACUUUGUCCUAUUAACGAUCCUACUACGAGUACCUAUAAGUUUUUACUAGCUACUAAAAUAUGCUGCAAUACUAGGGGAUGUCAACUAGCAGCUAAAAUCUGUGACAUUUAUGAACCUCUAGUAAAUGCAGAUCUAGAUGUCGAACUAGAUGGAGAACAAAAGUACCAUUACUUGGCUUCUGACAUUGGUAUCAAUGAUGCCCAAAUAACAAACCAAGAAAAACCUAAUGAAAACAAUCCGGAUCUAUCUUAUUUGAUCGAAUCUGUUAGAGACUCAAUUGAAGAACAAGACAAGGAAGAAAAAAUAGAAGUGAAGCAGGUUUCAACCGAAAAUAUUAAAGAGAUCGUAAAUCCGAUGGAUCAAGAUUUAUCAGAAAUUAUUAAUUUCGAAGGGGCUAGACGAAGAACUAGUACAGUGAGCUGGAUUGAACCAACCGAUAUAGCUGCAGUGCAUUCUAAAAGUCAAGAAGAAGUAAUUUCUAGAGCAACCGCUGAAGCAGAUAAAUUUAGGCAAACACCAGCAGCAAUUAGACAUGGUUCUGUUUUUGGAGAUAUUAUGAGAAAAAAGUUAGAAGAGCAAUCAUCAGUAGUUGUUGUUGAACAUGAACCAACCAUCGUUAAAUCUCAGUUAAAUUCAAAUAUUAUCGAUGAAAGCCUUAAGGAAAAACCUAAGUGUUUAGAAACGUUUCCACCGAAAAGGACUUAUCGGACAGAUUAACAUAUUCUGAACGUAGAAAACAUCACCAUAAAAAACAUAAGAAACAUAGAAAAGACCGUCAAAUACAAGCGGAGGAACAAACGCAGCAGGAAACCACUGACGACGG
Molecule: unclassified non-coding RNA, 2200 nt
Filed under: Anthonomus grandis grandis
Lineage: Eukaryota; Metazoa; Arthropoda; Insecta; Coleoptera; Curculionidae
Description: uncharacterized LOC126743543
Source: RNAcentral